RNAcentral lists this ribosomal RNA (460 nucleotides) under uncultured bacterium. Its description in RNAcentral is "partial 16S ribosomal RNA". It matches the Rfam family "Bacterial small subunit ribosomal RNA", at positions 338 to 795 of the family's 1533-position model. The record is from RNAcentral.
CCUACGGGUGGCAGCAGUGAGGAAUAUUGGUCAAUGGGCGCUAGCCUGAACCAGCCAAGCAGCGUGAAGGAUGACUGCCCUAUGGGUUGUAAACUUCUUUUAUAUGGGAAUAAAGUGCAGUAUUUAUACUGCUUUGCAUGUACCUUAAGAAUAAGGAUCGGCUAACGCCGUGCCAGCAGCCGCGGUAAUACGGAGGAUCCGAGCGUUAUCAGGAUUGAUUGGGUUUAAGGGGAGCGUAGGCGGGUUGUAAAGUCGGUUGUAAAAGUUUGCGGCUCAACCGUAAAGUUGCAGUUGAUACUGGCAUCCUUGAGUACAGUAGAGGUAGGCGGAAUUCGUGGUGUAGCGGUGAAAUGCUUAGAUAUCACGAAGAACUCCGAUUGCGAAGGCAGCCUGCUGGACUGUAACUGACGCUGAUGCUCGAAAGUGUGGGUAUCAAACAGGAUUAGAUACCCUGGUAGUC